RNAcentral lists this small nucleolar RNA (138 nucleotides) under Ornithorhynchus anatinus (platypus). The record is from RNAcentral. Lineage: Eukaryota; Metazoa; Chordata; Mammalia; Monotremata; Ornithorhynchidae.
GGACUCUCAGGGUUGCACCUGGAGAGUUUCAAGUACUCUACCAAUUCCAAUUAUGGGAGGGAGGGUCAAGCAAAGGCCUACCCAUUCCAUUCCUAGCUUGGGCAGCGGCUAGCGAGUGGAAGGCAAUCUGCUACAAGU